RNAcentral lists this ribosomal RNA (389 nucleotides) under uncultured eukaryote. RNAcentral's name for it is "SSU rRNA". It matches the Rfam family "Eukaryotic small subunit ribosomal RNA", at positions 587 to 972 of the family's 1831-position model. The record is from RNAcentral.
AGCUCCAAUAGCAUAUAUUAAAGUUGUUGCAGUUAAAAAGCUCGUAGUUGGAUUUCUGGCAAGAUGCGCCUUUCCCGGCUCCAUUAGGGGUUUGUGUGUGAGCGCGCGUCUGCCAUCCAUUUGCAGAAUGCGUCUACCUUUCAUUAGGCCGGGCGUGUGAUGUAAAUCUUUUACUUUGAAAAAAUUAGAGUGUUUAAAGCAGGCAUUUGCUAUGAAUACAUUAGCAUGGAAUAAUAAUCUAGGACUUCGGUUCUAUUUUGUUGGUUUCUAGAUCUGGAGUAAUGAUUGAUAGGGAUAGUUGGGGGUGCUAGUAUUAAGGGGCCAGAGGUGAAAUUCUUGGAUUCUCUUAAGACUAACUUAUGCGAAAGCAUUCACCAAGGAUGUCUUCU